This 253-nucleotide ribosomal RNA is filed under the name uncultured bacterium. Its description in RNAcentral is "partial 16S ribosomal RNA". It matches the Rfam family "Bacterial small subunit ribosomal RNA", at positions 524 to 776 of the family's 1533-position model. The record is from RNAcentral.
GACGAGGGGUCCUAGCGUUGUUCGGAAUCACUGGGCGUAAAGCGUUUGUAGGCGGCUUUAUAAGUCGGAUGUGAAAUCCCAUGGCUCAACCAUGGAAGUGCAUUCGAAACUGCAGAGCUUGAAUAUGGUAGAGGAGAGUAGAAUUCCUGGUGUAGUGGUGAAAUACGUAGAUAUCAGGAGGAAUACCGGAGGCGAAGGCGGCUCUCUGGACCAAUAUUGACGCUGAGAAACGAAAGUGCGGGGAUCAAACAGG